GAUGAACGCUGGCGGCGUGCCUAAUACAUGCAAGUCGAGCGAACAGACGAGGAGCUUGCUCCUCUGACGUUAGCGGCGGACGGGUGAGUAACACGUGGAUAACCUACCUAUAAGACUGGGAUAACUUCGGGAAACCGGAGCUAAUACCGGAUAAUAUAUUGAACCGCAUGGUUCAAUAGUGAAAGACGGUUUUGCUGUCACUUAUAGAUGGAUCCGCGCCGCAUUAGCUAGUUGGUAAGGUAACGGCUUACCAAGGCAACGAUGCGUAGCCGACCUGAGAGGGUGAUCGGCCACACUGGAACUGAGACACGGUCCAGACUCCUACGGGAGGCAGCAGUAGGGAAUCUUGCGCAAUGGGCGAAAGCCUGACGGAGCAACGCCGCGUGAGUGAAGAAGGUCUUCGGAUCGUAAAACUCUGUUAUUAGGGAAGAACAAAUGUGUAAGUAACUAUGCACGUCUUGACGGUACCUAAACAGAAAGCCACGGCUAACUACGUG
RNAcentral lists this ribosomal RNA (497 nucleotides) under uncultured bacterium. RNAcentral's name for it is "partial 16S ribosomal RNA". It matches the Rfam family "Bacterial small subunit ribosomal RNA", at positions 28 to 507 of the family's 1533-position model. The record is from RNAcentral.